RNAcentral lists this non-coding RNA (146 nucleotides) under Mesorhizobium plurifarium. RNAcentral describes it as "FMN". It matches the Rfam family "FMN riboswitch aptamer (RFN element)". From Rfam's summary of the family: The RFN element is a highly conserved domain that is found frequently in the 5'-untranslated regions of prokaryotic mRNAs that encode for flavin mononucleotide (FMN) biosynthesis and transport proteins. Lineage: Bacteria; Pseudomonadati; Pseudomonadota; Alphaproteobacteria; Hyphomicrobiales; Phyllobacteriaceae. The record is from RNAcentral.
UAAUGUUCUCAGGGCGGGGUGAAAGUCCCCACCGGCGGUAAGGGUUUCGACCCAAGCCCGCGAGCGCCUUCCGGCAAUCGGAGGGGUCAGCAGAUCCGGUGCAAUUCCGGGGCCGACGGUUACAGUCCGGAUGGAAGAGAACGAUC